AACGAACGCUGGCGGCAGGCCUAACACAUGCAAGUCGAACGCCCGUAGCAAUACGGGAGUGGCAGACGGGUGAGUAACGCGUGGGAACGUGCCCUUCGGUUCGGAAUAACUCAGGGAAACUUGAGCUAAUACCGGAUACGUCCGUAAGGAGAAAGAUUUAUCGCCGAAGGAUCGGCCCGCGUCGGAUUAGCUAGUUGGUGAGGUAACGGCCCACAAGGCGACGAUCCGUAGCUGGUCUGAGAGGANGAUCAGCCACACUGGACUGAGACACGGCCCAGACUCCUACGGGAGGCAGCAGUGGGGAAUAUUGGACAAUGGGCGCAAGCCUGAUCCAGCGAUGCCGCGUGUGUGAA
This 353-nucleotide ribosomal RNA is filed under the name uncultured bacterium. RNAcentral's name for it is "bacterial SSU rRNA". It matches the Rfam family "Bacterial small subunit ribosomal RNA", at positions 29 to 409 of the family's 1533-position model. The record is from RNAcentral.